CCGGCACGGGUGAGUAACACGUAUCCAACCUGCCGUCUACUCUUGGCCAGCCUUCUGAAAGGAAGAUUAAUCCAGGAUGGCAUCAUGAGUUCACAUGUCCGCAUGAUUAAAGGUAUUUUCCGGUAGACGAUGGGGACGCGUUCCAUUAGAUAGUAGGCGGGGUAACGGCCCACCUAGUCAACGAUGGAUAGGGGUUCUGAGAGGAAGGUCCCCCACAUUGGAACUGAGACACGGUCCAA
RNAcentral lists this ribosomal RNA (239 nucleotides) under uncultured bacterium. RNAcentral describes it as "partial 16S ribosomal RNA". It matches the Rfam family "Bacterial small subunit ribosomal RNA", at positions 100 to 334 of the family's 1533-position model. The record is from RNAcentral.